RNAcentral lists this ribosomal RNA (254 nucleotides) under uncultured bacterium. Its description in RNAcentral is "partial 16S ribosomal RNA". It matches the Rfam family "Bacterial small subunit ribosomal RNA", at positions 524 to 776 of the family's 1533-position model. The record is from RNAcentral.
UACGAAGGGGGCUAGCGUUGCUCGGAAUCACUGGGCGUAAAGCGCACGUAGGUGGAUUGCCAAGUCGGGGGUGAAAUCCUGGAGCUCAACUCCAGAACUGCCUUCGAUACUGGCGAUCUUGGAGUCCGGGAGAGGUGGGUGGAACUGCGAGUGUAGAGGUGAAAUUCGUAGAUAUUCGCAAGAACACCAGUGGCGAAGGCGGCUCACUGGCCCGGUACUGACACUGAGGUGCGAAAGCGUGGGGAGCAAACAGG